This 460-nucleotide ribosomal RNA is filed under the name uncultured bacterium. RNAcentral's name for it is "partial 16S ribosomal RNA". It matches the Rfam family "Bacterial small subunit ribosomal RNA", at positions 338 to 795 of the family's 1533-position model. The record is from RNAcentral.
CCUACGGGCGGCAGCAGUGAGGAAUAUUGGUCAAUGGACGAGAGUCUGAACCAGCCAAGUAGCGUGAAGGAUGACUGCCCUAUGGGUUGUAAACUUCUUUUAUAUGGGAAUAAAAUGUUCCACGUGUGGGAUUUUGUAUGUACCAUAUGAAUAAGGAUCGGCUAACUCCGUGCCAGCAGCCGCGGUAAUACGGAGGAUCCGAGCGUUAUCCGGAUUUAUUGGGUUUAAAGGGAGCGUAGGUGGAUUGUUAAGUCAGUUGUGAAAGUUUGCGGCUCAACCGUAAAAUUGCAGUUGAAACUGGCAGUCUUGAGUACAGUAGAGGUGGGCGGAAUUCGUGGUGUAGCGGUGAAAUGCUUAGAUAUCACGAAGAACUCCGAUUGCGAUGGCAGUUCACUGGACUGCAACUGACACUGAGGCUCGAAAGUGUGGGUAUCAAACAGGAUUAGAUACCCCUGUAGUC